This 622-nucleotide long non-coding RNA is filed under the name Mus spicilegus (steppe mouse). RNAcentral's name for it is "lncRNA (ENSMSIG00000028129.1)". The record is from RNAcentral. Lineage: Eukaryota; Metazoa; Chordata; Mammalia; Rodentia; Muridae.
UUUCGUUUCAAUCACUAAAGCGAUGCUGUUUCCCAUUGCAUUUAAGGGUUGACUGUGUAAGAACCGUGGCUCAGGGAUGCUUCUUCUCUUCCACUUCUUUGCUAACUGUGGAUUUGAAAUUCAAAAGCCUCCUCCUACUCCCCCACUGAGAGUUUCAGAACCUGUUAAUCCCCUGGAAUCUUUGCACUCUCAAGGGACCCUGUCACUUCUUUUGCCUAAGCUGUAAGUGUAGCUGAAGGAAGGGGCUAUUACAGGCUGACAUUCUGUGUAUUACAUCUCAUCACCUCCUCACACCUUGGACCCCAGCUUCCUCAAACAAGUCCCUCAUCAGACCUUUACCCUCAUGACUUAACCUGUAGAUGCUCUUUACCUUGAGCUUAAGGAGUGCUUUUCUUCCUAGCCCAAUGCAUUCACCCUAAAAGACCUAGAAUUCCUUCCCAAGACUUCUGUUUUUCAAAACCAAGAGACAACCAGGUGGAGCAGGAGCUGAGGGGGGAGAGAAGAGAGCCCUAGAGCCUUCAGUGCAAACCUUGCAACGCAUGCAGAAGGACUGCCAGCCUGCCAACUCUUCCACCAUCAUUGUCUCUUCUUCUGCCUCUGAUAUUUUGUCCCAAACUCUGAC